Molecule: transfer RNA, 73 nt
Filed under: Marmota monax (woodchuck)
Lineage: Eukaryota; Metazoa; Chordata; Mammalia; Rodentia; Sciuridae
Description: tRNA.Ala
Source: RNAcentral
CUGAGGGUGUGCCUCAGUGGCAGACACUUGCCUGGCCUGCAUGAGGCCCUGGGUUCAAUACCCAGCACUGGGG